GAUGAAGAACGCAGCGAAAUGCGAUAAGUAGUGUGAAUUGCAGAAUUCAGUGAAUCAUCGAAUCUUUGAACGCACAUUGCGGCUCCUGGUAUUCCGGGAGGCAUGCCUGUUCGAGCGUCAUUAAAAUCACUCAAGCUUAGGUUUACCUAUUGCUUGGUCUUGGAGAUGGAAGCCAAUUUAUUGGAAUCCUCUUCGAAAUUCAAUGGCGAAGACCCUUGCUCUCCCAAGUGUAGUAAUAACUUAUGUCACUGAAGGAAGCGAGAAAUCUUCUGCCGUAACCCCCAUAUUUUCUAUGAUUGACCUCGGAUCAGGUAGGGAUACCCGCUGAACUUAAGCAUAUCAAUAAGCGGAGGA
This 354-nucleotide unclassified non-coding RNA is filed under the name soil metagenome. RNAcentral's name for it is "partial contains 5.8S ribosomal RNA, internal transcribed spacer 2, and large subunit ribosomal RNA". The stretch from base 1 to 120 matches the Rfam family "5.8S ribosomal RNA", at positions 35 to 154 of the family's 154-position model. The record is from RNAcentral.